Molecule: ribosomal RNA, 442 nt
Filed under: uncultured bacterium
Lineage: Bacteria
Description: partial 16S ribosomal RNA
Rfam family: Bacterial small subunit ribosomal RNA
Source: RNAcentral
CCUACGGGUGGCAGCAGUGGGGAAUAUUGGGCAAUGGGCGCAAGCCUGACCCAGCAACGUCGCGUGCAGGAAGAAGGCUCUCGGGUUGUAAACUUCUUUUGUCAGGGAAGAGUAGAAGACGGUACCUGACGAAUAAGCCACGGCUAACUACGUGCCAGCAGCCGCGGUAAUACGUAGGUGGCAAGCGUUGUCCGGAUUUACUGGGUGUAAAGGGCGUGUAGCCGGGUUGACAAGUCAGAUGUGAAAUCCUGCGGCUUAACCGCAGAACUGCAUUUGAAACUGUUGCUCUUGAGUACUGGAGAGGCAGAUGGAAUUCCUGGUGUAGCGGUGAAAUGCGUAGAUAUUAGGAAGAACACCAGUGGCGAAGGCGGUCUGCUGGACAGCAACUGACGGUGAGGCGCGAAAGCGUGGGGAGCAAACAGGAUUAGAUACCCCAGUAGUC